ACCGUUUAACAUACUCCCACCAUGUAUUAGCAUACCCUUCGAAGUGAGCUAUAGCAUAGCAACUUUUCUUUUCUUCGGUGAGAUCAUUAAGUUGGAAGAUCUUGUCACAAGAUGACUCCCAUGCAAGGUAGGCUUCGGGAUCACUCUCACCUUUGAAAACGGGAAGGCUCACUUUGAUGGAAUUGGGACCUACAUCUCGGUUUAGGUGGCCAUCUUUCACCUCUCGG
Molecule: long non-coding RNA, 227 nt
Filed under: Capsicum annuum
Lineage: Eukaryota; Viridiplantae; Streptophyta; Magnoliopsida; Solanales; Solanaceae
Description: long non-coding RNA (CANN_LNC009357)
Source: RNAcentral